AACUCAAGACUAAGAUACAACUCCUAAAGCAACAAACAAAGAUUGGGAUGGAGACACCAUUGAUGAACAUCAUAAAUAAGACCUUUGCCUCUAUAUUUAAGCCAACUCCACGAUAACAUUUGAACAUUCUCCAAAACUUCCACCAAGCAGCACUUUCAACAAAUUAUCUUUUAUAUGCACCUCUUUUCAGCAAAUUAUCAUCCUUGAAAAAGAAUAACAAUGCACUAGUAGUUCUUCCUAUUGAAACACAUUUCUACGUUAGCUCCACCCUAGACCUCCAACUUCCCACCUCAAUCUACAC
This 301-nucleotide long non-coding RNA is filed under the name Cicer arietinum (chickpea). Its description in RNAcentral is "long non-coding RNA (CARI_LNC000436)". Lineage: Eukaryota; Viridiplantae; Streptophyta; Magnoliopsida; Fabales; Fabaceae. The record is from RNAcentral.